AUGCAAACAUCUGACAGGCUGAAAUUUCAGCCUACGAACUUAAAACAGAAAGGCCCCCAGUAUUGAAUUUUGGUACGUAACCGCAGCACUCCACACAGCAUAACACGGAGCGCCCCAAAUGACAAUCCAGCCUACUCUCACUAUGACGAGCUCAAUGACAGCUGCUUCAACCCAUACUGAGAGGCUAUCAUCGUUUCCUCCUGCGUACUGAGCAAGCUUGUUUUUUCCCCUCGCUGAGGCGAGAUGAUUUUGUUUGUAUGGUGAGCAAAUCUAUCGCCGAUGAUUGCUCUAAUGAGAUGAUCAAGCAACAGCCGCUCACAUGAUGAAAUCAUGGUGAGGUCGGAUUUUGGAGUGAGUAAAAUAUCUUCUCCACAUCGAGCCGCCAUUGUGUUUUGGUUUGAGGAGAACAUCGGAUCAUUAACGAAUUGUUUACCUUUGUAAAACGUGCAAUAAUUGUCCGCGGGCUACAUUUAGCGAUUGUUUUGUUGAAAUAGCAUAUCAAAUAUCCCGAAUCCGUAUAAUUAUAGUGAAAUACUGCACAUGACAAACGGUUUGUUGAAGGAAACGUAAAAUCAUGUGUGGGAACGUGAUGAACUACUUCCCGGGUCAAUUAUUCAAGUACUGCCGCUAGAGUACAAUAAAUGUUCCAUUACCGGCAGGCUGAAAUGAUAAACAACAAAUGAAGCAGCGCUUGAAGAUGAAGAUGAUGAUACCCAGUUAUGCUAAGGCCAAUAUCCGCUUGAAGACUCCCAUAAUGAAAAGGAAGUGCAUACGGAUCUUGAAUACGUAGAUAGACUGCGAAUCGAAUGGAAGUCAAGCCAAAUGCUCACAUCAUGGUAGCAGAUAUGAAUUUGGCAAUGUUAGACCCCGCGUUUGAUAAUAGAACUUAAUUAUAUUGAAGAAAACAAUUCAGGAUUACAUGUUGGACAAUCAUCACUGUUUCUGAGGCACAAAAAUGUAUAAAGCGUCUUGGACGUAUGAAUACGUGCAUCGUGCUAUUCUACUAAAAAAUAAUCAGGUCAAUGCUCUGUAGCAAGGACUGACUAUUCGGCUACAUGAUGCUGAAUAAGUCAUGAAAGCCUGUGCUGUCCGGCAUGUUUACGUAUUUGAAGUUACGCCAAAUAGAAGACUCGAGAGAAGAACUGGGGACAUUACAACGAACGAAGAUUUUAAUAAACAAUCCGUUGAGUGCUACUGUCCAAUGUUAAUUCAUCUAACACAUAUGACCCUCCUGAUACUAAUACAAAAUUAUAGGAAAUGUUCCAUUAGGCUUAAAUGAAUAAAGCAUCUAUUAUUUCAUACUAUUAAAUAACUGUUAUUAAUUUUA
Long non-coding RNA from Anopheles merus, 1327 nucleotides. RefSeq lists it as uncharacterized. The transcript has 3 exons. The record is from RefSeq and is a predicted model, not a curated record. NCBI's taxonomy places the organism in Eukaryota, Metazoa, Arthropoda, Insecta, Diptera, Culicidae.